Molecule: ribosomal RNA, 501 nt
Filed under: uncultured bacterium
Lineage: Bacteria
Description: partial 16S ribosomal RNA
Rfam family: Bacterial small subunit ribosomal RNA
Source: RNAcentral
AUUGAACGCUGGCGGCAUGCCUUACACAUGCAAGUCGAACGGCAGCACGGGUGCUUGCACCUGGUGGCGAGUGGCGAACGGGUGAGUAAUACAUCGGAACAUACCUUAUCGUGGGGGAUAACGCAGCGAAAGCUGUGCUAAUACCGCAUACGCCCUGAGGGGGAAAGCGGGGGAUCGCAAGACCUCGCGCGAUUAGAGCGGCCGAUGCCUGAUUAGCUUGUUGGUGGGGUAAAAGCCCACCAAGGCGACGAUCAGUAGCUGGUAUGAGAGGACGAUCGGCCAGACUGGGACUGGGAGACGGCCCAGACUCGUACGGGAGGCAGCAGUGGGGAAUUUUGGACAAUGGGGGCAACCCUGAUCCAGCAAUGCCGGGUGAGUGAAGAAGGCCUUCGGGCUGUAAAGCUCUUUUGUCAGGGAAGAAACACCGGCUCUAACACAGUCCGGGAAUGACGGUACCUGAAGAAUAAGCACCGGCUAACUACGUGCCAGCCGCCGCAGUAA